UGGCAGUGAUGAUUAAAAGGCCGGACUCACGGCUGCUACUAAUGUUGUUGGUUGGUAGUAGAUUGAUGAAUUUCGCUGUAAGGUGUUUGAUCUGAGCCAG
Molecule: small nucleolar RNA, 100 nt
Filed under: Cephalotus follicularis
Lineage: Eukaryota; Viridiplantae; Streptophyta; Magnoliopsida; Oxalidales; Cephalotaceae
Description: Small nucleolar RNA snoR113
Rfam family: Small nucleolar RNA snoR113
Source: Rfam by way of RNAcentral